RNAcentral lists this ribosomal RNA (1376 nucleotides) under Erwinia sp. Ia3. Its description in RNAcentral is "bacterial SSU rRNA". It matches the Rfam family "Bacterial small subunit ribosomal RNA", at positions 86 to 1460 of the family's 1533-position model. The record is from RNAcentral. Lineage: Bacteria; Pseudomonadati; Pseudomonadota; Gammaproteobacteria; Enterobacterales; Erwiniaceae.
GGGUGACGAGUGGCGGACGGGUGAGUAAUGUCUGGGAAACUGCCUGAUGGAGGGGGAUAACUACUGGAAACGGUAGCUAAUACCGCAUAACGUCUUCGGACCAAAGUGGGGGACCUUCGGGCCUCACACCAUCGGAUGUGCCCAGAUGGGAUUAGCUAGUAGGUGGGGUAAUGGCUCACCUAGGCGACGAUCCCUAGCUGGUCUGAGAGGAUGACCAGCCACACUGGAACUGAGACACGGUCCAGACUCCUACGGGAGGCAGCAGUGGGGAAUAUUGCACAAUGGGCGCAAGCCUGAUGCAGCCAUGCCGCGUGUAUGAAGAAGGCCUUCGGGUUGUAAAGUACUUUCAGCGGGGAGGAAGGCGAUAAGGUUAAUAACCUUGUCGAUUGACGUUACCCGCAGAAGAAGCACCGGCUAACUCCGUGCCAGCAGCGCGGUAAUACGGAGGGUGCAAGCGUUUAUCGGAAUUACUGGGCGUAAAGCGCACGCAGGCGGUCUGUCAAGUCAGAUGUGAAAUCCCGGGCUUAACCUGGGAACUGCAUUUGAAACUGGCAGGCUAGAGUCUUGUAGAGGGGGGUAGAAUUCCAGGUGUAGCGGUGAAAUGCGUAGAGAUCUGGAGGAAUACCGGUGGCGAAGGCGGCCCCCUGGACAAAGACUGACGCUCAGGUGCGAAAGCGUGGGGAGCAAACAGGAUUAGAUACCCUGGUAGUCCACGCCGUAAACGAUGUCGACUUGGAGGUUGUGCCCUUGAGGCGUGGCUUCCGGAGCUAACGCGUUAAGUCGACCGCCUGGGGAGUACGGCCGCAAGGUUAAAACUCAAAUGAAUUGACGGGGGCCCGCACAAGCGGUGGAGCAUGUGGUUUAAUUCGAUGCAACGCGAAGAACCUUACCUGGCCUUGACAUCCACGGAAUUCGGCAGAGAUGCCUUAGUGCCUUCGGGAACCGUGAGACAGGUGCUGCAUGGCUGUCGUCAGCUCGUGUUGUGAAAUGUUGGGUUAAGUCCCGCAACGAGCGCAACCCUUAUCCUUUGUUGCCAGCGAGUAAUGUCGGGAACUCAAAGGAGACUGCCGGUGACAAACCGGAGGAAGGUGGGGAUGACGUCAAGUCAUCAUGGCCCUUACGGCCAGGGCUACACACGUGCUACAAUGGCGCAUACAAAGAGAAGCGAACUCGCGAGAGCAAGCGGACCUCACAAAGUGCGUCGUAGUCCGGAUCGGAGUCUGCAACUCGACUCCGUGAAGUCGGAAUCGCUAGUAAUCGUAGAUCAGAAUGCUACGGUGAAUACGUUCCCGGGCCUUGUACACACCGCCCGUCACACCAUGGGAGUGGGUUGCAAAAGAAGUAGGUAGCUUAACCUUCGGGAGGGCGCUUACCAC